This 91-nucleotide transfer RNA is filed under the name Eubacteriales bacterium. Its description in RNAcentral is "tRNA-Ser". It matches the Rfam family "tRNA". From Rfam's summary of the family: Transfer RNA (tRNA) molecules are approximately 80 nucleotides in length. Their secondary structure includes four short double-helical elements and three loops (D, anti-codon, and T loops). Lineage: Bacteria; Bacillati; Bacillota; Clostridia; Eubacteriales. The record is from RNAcentral.
GGAGAAGUACCCAAGAGGCUGAAGGGGACGGUUUGCUAAAUCGUUAGUGGGGGCAACUCCAGCGAGGGUUCGAAUCCCUCCUUCUCCGCCA